Molecule: long non-coding RNA, 800 nt
Organism: Lycium barbarum (goji berry)
Lineage: Eukaryota; Viridiplantae; Streptophyta; Magnoliopsida; Solanales; Solanaceae
Exons: 2
Source: RefSeq, a predicted model, not a curated record
AUUGGCUUAUAAGUGGUUUAUAAGCUGUUGUCAGCUUUUUUGAGUGUUUAGCUAGUUAGCUUAAAGUCAUUUUGUGUUUAAAAUAAGUUUAAAAAAAUAAUUGGACCCAUUUGACUUAGCUUAUUUAAAAUAACUUAUAAGUUGUUUUCAGCUUAUAAGCUAAAAGAAAUAAGUUAGACUAUCCAACUUAUUUUUUUUAGCUUAUAAUCUGCAAACAGCUUAUAGGCAUAAGCCCAUCCAAACAUGCUCUAUAUAUUAUGACUCUCCACUACUCUUUUAUUUCUUCAAAGCUUCUCAAACUCUUACUUCCUCUUUCAUGUUUAUGUGAGUUUUGGAAUUUAUUUCUGUCGGAAAAAAAUUUAACAAGAAAUACACAACUCAAGUAGUUUUAGGUAGACAAGGAGGCAGAGAGAAUUGUAGAAUUAGAAGAUGCGUGCACUAGUGAUAUCGUUGCCAUUGGCUAUAUUGGGAUUGAUCAUACUAGCCAUCAUACUAGCCAUUAUUUGUUACACCUGUGGAAAAAGAAGGAGUCGAUGGUAAUUAAUUAAUUAUUCAAAAUGCUUUAUUGUGGCUCCUCCAAGCUCUUGUUGGAUACAGGCUUAAAAAAAAAAAAAAAAAUAUAUAUAUAUGAAUGGAACCCUUUGUUCAAAGAGUCUAGUCUAUCCUAGAGAGCUUGCUUUAUAUUUUCUUGUACCCUGUUUCUUGAUUUUGUAUUCGUAAGUGUGACAUUAUACUUUGUAUUAUAUGAUUGUGGUGUCUGGCAGAAUGCGUACAUAUAUAAAUUGUUGGAUCUUGUUGAA